GAGACACUAGUAAAAGUUGUUACACUGCUUUGUCAGGGCAGAAUUGCGGGUGAAAAUCCCGCGUGUUUCA
RNAcentral lists this transfer RNA (70 nucleotides) under Sillago sp. 3 SS-2021. RNAcentral's name for it is "tRNA-Asp". It matches the Rfam family "tRNA". From Rfam's summary of the family: Transfer RNA (tRNA) molecules are approximately 80 nucleotides in length. Their secondary structure includes four short double-helical elements and three loops (D, anti-codon, and T loops). Further hydrogen bonds mediate the characteristic L-shaped molecular structure. tRNAs have two regions of fundamental functional importance: the anti-codon, which is responsible for specific mRNA codon recognition, and the 3' end, to which the tRNAs corresponding amino acid is attached (by aminoacyl-tRNA synthetases). tRNAs cope with the degeneracy of the genetic code in two manners: having more than one tRNA (with a specific anti-codon) for a particular amino acid; and 'wobble' base-pairing, i.e. permitting non-standard base-pairing at the 3rd anti-codon position. Lineage: Eukaryota; Metazoa; Chordata; Actinopteri; Sillaginidae. The record is from RNAcentral.